CGGGGUGAGUAAUACUUGGGCAAUCUGCCCUUUAGAGGAAAACAACCUGCCGAAAGGCGGGCUAAUGUUCCAUAAGACCACAGAGUGACAUCAUUCAGGGGUUAAAGCUUCGCAAGGGGCGCUAGAGGUGGAGCCCGAGUCCUAUCAGCUAGUUGGUGAGGUAACGGCUCACCAAGGCUUUGACGGGUAGCCGGCCUGAAAGGGUGACCGGCCACACUGGCACUGAGACACGGGCCAG
Molecule: ribosomal RNA, 238 nt
Filed under: uncultured bacterium
Lineage: Bacteria
Description: partial 16S ribosomal RNA
Rfam family: Bacterial small subunit ribosomal RNA
Source: RNAcentral